Molecule: ribosomal RNA, 577 nt
Filed under: uncultured bacterium
Lineage: Bacteria
Description: bacterial SSU rRNA
Rfam family: Bacterial small subunit ribosomal RNA
Source: RNAcentral
ACGGGUGAGUAACACGUGGGCAACCUGCCCUUGAGACUGGGAUAACUUCGGGAAACCGGAGCUAAUACCGGAUAAUAUAAGGAACCUCCUGGUUCCUUAUUGAAAGAUGGUUUCGGCUAUCACUUAAGGAUGGGCCCGCGGCGCAUUAGCUAGUUGGUGAGGUAACGGCUCACCAAGGCGACGAUGCGUAGCCGACCUGAGAGGGUGAUCGGCCACACUGGGACUGAGACACGGCCCAGACUCCUACGGGAGGCAGCAGUAGGGAAUCUUCCACAAUGGACGAAAGUCUGAUGGAGCAACGCCGCGUGAGUGAUGAAGGCCUUCGGGUCGUAAAGCUCUGUUGUUAGGGAAGAACAAGUGCGAGAGUAACUGCUCGCACCUUGACGGUACCUAACCAGAAAGCCACGGCUAACUACGUGCCAGCAGCCGCGGUAAUACGUAGGCGGCAAGCGUUAUCCGGAAUUAUUGGGCGUAAAGCGCGCGCAGGUGGUUUCUUAAGUCUGAUGUGAAAGCCCACGGCUCAACCGUGGAGGGUCAUUGGAAACUGGGGAACUUGAGUGCAGAAGAGGAAAGUGGA